Molecule: ribosomal RNA, 465 nt
Filed under: uncultured bacterium
Lineage: Bacteria
Description: partial 16S ribosomal RNA
Rfam family: Bacterial small subunit ribosomal RNA
Source: RNAcentral
CCUACGGGAGGCAGCAGUGGGGAAUAUUGCGCAAUGGGCGAAAGCCUGACGCAGCGACGCCGCGUGAGGGAUGAAGGUCUUCGGAUCGUAAACCUCUGUCAGCAGGGAAGAACGGUCACUGUGCUAAUCAGCAGUGAAUUGACGGCACCUGCAAAGGAAGCACCGGCUAACUCCGUGCCAGCAGCCGCGGUCAUACGGAGGGUGCGAGCGGUAAUCGGACUUACUGGGCGUAAACGGCACGUAGGCGGUACGGCAAGCCAAGGGUGAAAUCCCCGGGCUCAACAUUGGCACUGACUUUGAAACUGGCGAGCUGGAGUGUGUGAGGGGAUAGUGGAAUUCCAGGUGUAGGAGUGAAAUCCGUAGAUAUCUGGAGGAACACCAGUGGCGAAGGCGACUAUCUGGCACGUAACUGACGCUGAGGAGCGAAAGCGUGGGUAGCAAACAGGAUUAGAUACCCCAGUAGUC